GAAAAUAAAUAUCAACAGGUUUGAUCAAUUUCUCAAUAAAUAGUGACGUAAAAUCAGUUUAAAUAUAAAAUUAAGAAAUAUUCUUAUGCUACAUUUGUUGACUGAAUUAAGACCUCAAGUUACGAAGUUCUGACCAUAAUAUGCUUUUAUAUUAACAUUAAUUAGAGUUAAGCAUGAAAGAAGGCAAAUAUUAUUAAUUUUAACCAUUCUGGUUUGGAUGUUUGGAUUUUGGAAAUUGGAAUAUGCCUCGCUGCUCUUGCUAUUCAUUUAUUUUGUUUUAUUUUAAUUUUUUUAUGGAACUUGGAUUUCUUCAUGUUUAAAACCCUAUACUAGCGUUAUCUAUUAUUCACAAAUUUAUUAAGUUUUCCAAGCAUUGACCAUUGAGUGGCAGGAUGCUUGACUUUUGUCUGCUUGCAAUAUCAAUUGUUAUUUGAAAUUAGUAAUAUUGUGCCUAGGCAGGAAUUGGGACUCUUUUCUCACUAAGGAAUUUUAAGAUAUUUGCCUCUAUAUGUGACUACUUUAUAAUCAAAUGAACAAGUAGGUAAAAUUUAAAUUAUAAUGGAUCUGGGGCAAGUUUAAAGUGAUAAUUUAAAUUUUAGAUUCAUGAUAUUCAUAACGCUUAUAUAGUUCAGAAAGGUAGAUAUCUAUAAUUGAACAACAGUGAUUAAUGCUUAUUUUGCCUGAAAGAUAUGUAUGAUUAGGAAAUUGCACAUAAAUUAUAGAACAAUGCAAGUGAUGCACAUUAUUAUAGCAUUUUUAUGGUAGAUAAUUGUAAGUGGAAUAAAGGACAAUCCUAAUUAUGCUUUUUAUUGUUCAAUGUCUAAAUUUUAAGGCCUCAUCUCCAUUUUGAUGAAAAAUUGUAUAGCAGGCUUAGGUAAUUAUAUUCAGAUUUUGGCAAUCAUUAAUGAGUACUGGAUGCUGGAGUAUUUUCACGACCUCCAUUUUUUCUUCUGUUUUAAAUUACAGGCUCUAAAGGAU
This 978-nucleotide unclassified non-coding RNA is filed under the name Hevea brasiliensis (rubber tree). Lineage: Eukaryota; Viridiplantae; Streptophyta; Magnoliopsida; Malpighiales; Euphorbiaceae. The record is from RNAcentral.